UACGUAGGGUGCAAGCGUUGUCCGGAAUUACUGGGCGUAAAGAGCUCGUAGGCGGUUUGUCGCGUCGUCUGUGAAAACUCGAGGCUCAACCUCGAGCUUGCAGGCGAUACGGGCAGACUUGAGUACUGCAGGGAGACUGGAAUUCCUGGUGUAGCGGUGAAAUGCGCAGAUAUCAGGAGGAACACCGGUGGCGAAGCGGUCUCUGGACGUACUGACGCUGAGGCGCGAAGCGUGGGAGCAAACAGG
Molecule: ribosomal RNA, 246 nt
Filed under: uncultured bacterium
Lineage: Bacteria
Description: partial 16S ribosomal RNA
Rfam family: Bacterial small subunit ribosomal RNA
Source: RNAcentral